UACGUAGGGGGCUAGCGUUGUCCGGAAUCAUUGGGCGUAAAGGGCGCGUAGGCGGCCCCGUAAGUCUUGGGUGAAAGCCCCCGGCUCAACUGGGGAGGGUCACGCGAUACUGAUCGACUCGAAGGCAGGAGAGGGUAGUGGAAUUCCCGGUGUAGUGGUGAAAUGCGUAGAUAUCGGGAGGAACACCAGUGGCGAAGGCGACUACCUGGCCUGUUUCUUGACGCUGAGGCGCGAAAGCUAGGGGAGCAAACGGG
RNAcentral lists this ribosomal RNA (254 nucleotides) under uncultured bacterium. RNAcentral describes it as "partial 16S ribosomal RNA". It matches the Rfam family "Bacterial small subunit ribosomal RNA", at positions 524 to 776 of the family's 1533-position model. The record is from RNAcentral.